This 295-nucleotide ribosomal RNA is filed under the name uncultured bacterium. Its description in RNAcentral is "partial 16S ribosomal RNA". It matches the Rfam family "Bacterial small subunit ribosomal RNA", at positions 30 to 318 of the family's 1533-position model. The record is from RNAcentral.
AUUGAACGCUGGCGGCGUGCCUAACACAUGCAAGUCGAGCGGUAACAGGUGUAGCAAUACAUGCUGACGAGCGGCGGACGGGUGAGUAACGCUUGGGAAUCUGCCUAUUAGUGGGGGACGAACCCGGGGAAACGUCGGCGUAAUACCGCAUACGCUCUACGGAGGAAAGACCGGGGACCGGCAAGGCCUGGCGCUAAUAGAUGAGCCCAAGUCGGAUUAGCUAGUUGGUAGGGUAAUGGCCUACCAAGGCGACGAUCCGUAACCUGGUCUGAGAGGACGACCAGUCACACCGGAA